This 260-nucleotide RNase P RNA is filed under the name Methylophilaceae bacterium. RNAcentral describes it as "partial RNase P RNA component class A". It matches the Rfam family "Bacterial RNase P class A", at positions 1 to 275 of the family's 367-position model. Rfam says of the family: Ribonuclease P (RNase P) is a ubiquitous endoribonuclease, found in archaea, bacteria and eukarya as well as chloroplasts and mitochondria. Lineage: Bacteria; Pseudomonadati; Pseudomonadota; Betaproteobacteria; Nitrosomonadales; Methylophilaceae. The record is from RNAcentral.
GAAGCUGACUGGGCAGUCGCUGCCACUUUCUGAGUGGGGGAGGAAAGUCCGGGCUGCAUAGAGCGGGAUGACGGCUAACGGCCGUCCGUCGAAAGCCGCAAGGUAUAAGGCGAGGAAUAGGGCCACAGAGACGAGUCGGUUCGACCUGUGAGCAGCGAAAGUUGCGAACUUGCGUCGAAACGGGUGAAACGCGGUAACCUCCAUCCGCAGCAAGACCAAAUAGGCUGGCAAUGGCGUGGCUCGCGCCGCCAGCGGGUAGG